Molecule: ribosomal RNA, 433 nt
Filed under: uncultured bacterium
Lineage: Bacteria
Description: partial 16S ribosomal RNA
Rfam family: Bacterial small subunit ribosomal RNA
Source: RNAcentral
AACGAACGCUGGCGGCAUGCCUAACACAUGCAAGUCGAACGAGACCUUCGGGUCUAGUGGCGCACGGGUGCGUAACGCGUGGGAACCUGCCCUUAGGUUCGGAAUAACUCCCCGAAAGGGGUGCUAAUACCGGAUAAUGUCUUCGGACCAAAGAUUUAUCGCCUUUGGAUGGGCCCGCGUUGGAUUAGCUAGUUGGUAGGGUAAAAGCCUACCAAGGCGACGAUCCAUAGCUGGUCUGAGAGGAUGAUCAGCCACGCUGGGACUGAGACACGGCCCAGACUCGUACGGAAGGGAGCAGUGGGGAAUAUUGGACGAUGGGCGAAAGCCUGAUCCAGCAAUGCCGCGUGAGUGAUGAAGGCCUUAGGGUUGUGAAGCUCUUUUACCCGGGAUGAUAAUGACAGUACCGGGAGAAUAAGCACCGGCUAACUCCGUG